This 131-nucleotide small nuclear RNA is filed under the name Marmota marmota marmota (Alpine marmot). Lineage: Eukaryota; Metazoa; Chordata; Mammalia; Rodentia; Sciuridae. The record is from RNAcentral.
AUGCUUGAGUUUUUGGGGGACACCUCACAAACCAUAACAGCAGCACAUAUACUAAAAUCGGAAUGAUAAAGAGAUUAGCAUGGGCCCUGCACAAGGAGGACACACAAACUCAGGAAACAUUUCAUAUUUUA